RNAcentral lists this ribosomal RNA (253 nucleotides) under uncultured bacterium. Its description in RNAcentral is "partial 16S ribosomal RNA". It matches the Rfam family "Bacterial small subunit ribosomal RNA", at positions 524 to 776 of the family's 1533-position model. The record is from RNAcentral.
UACGAAGGGGGCUAGCGUUGUUCGGAAUUACUGGGCGUAAAGCGUGCGCAGGCGGCUUCUCAAGUCAGGGGUGAAAGCCCAGAGCUCAACUCUGGAAUUGCCUUUGAGACUGGGUGGUUUGAGUACGAGAGAGGUGAGUGGAAUUCCCAGUGUAGAGGUGAAAUUCGUAGAUAUUGGGAAGAACACCGGUGGCGAAGGCGGCUCACUGGCCCGAUACUGACGCUGAGGCACGAAAGCGUGGGGAGCAAACAGG